RNAcentral lists this small RNA (139 nucleotides) under Brevibacillus laterosporus. RNAcentral's name for it is "c-di-AMP sequence". It matches the Rfam family "c-di-AMP riboswitch aptamer (ydaO/yuaA leader)". Rfam says of the family: This family represents a conserved RNA structure found upstream of the ydaO and yuaA genes in Bacillus subtilis and related genes in other bacteria. The ydaO/yuaA element is thought to act as a genetic "off" switch for the ydaO and yuaA genes in its native state. Lineage: Bacteria; Bacillati; Bacillota; Bacilli; Caryophanales; Paenibacillaceae. RNAcentral also lists the same sequence under 1 other name. The record is from RNAcentral.
AUCGAAAAUUAGCCGAAUUCCAGACAAUGGAAACGGGGGAACCAAACUUUGGGGUGAAUAGCUGUUCUUUCAAAACAGCUUAGGGAAACCUUUCGACCGAACCCAUCAGCUAACCUCGGAGGCUUAAAAGGAAGGGGCU